UCGAGGAUCUUCGGCAAUGGGCGCAAGCCUGACCGAGCGACGCCGCGUGUGCGAUGAAGGCCUUCGGGUUGUAAAGCACUGUCGAGGGGGAGGAAAGCCGAAAGGUCUGACCUAUCCCUGGAGGAAGGACGGGCUAAGUUCGUGCCAGCAGCCGCGGUAAGACGAACCGUCCUAACGUUGUUCGGAAUCACUGGGCUUAAAGGGCGCGUAGGCGGCCGAUCAAGUCUGGGGUGAAAGCCUCCAGCUUAACUGGAGAAGUGCCUUGGAUACUGAUCGGCUAGAGCGAGGUAGGGGCAGCUGGAACUUCCGGUGGAGCGGUGAAAUGCGUUGAUAUCGGAAGGAACGCCGGUGGCGAAAGCGAGCUGCUGGACCUUUUCUGACGCUGAGGCGCGAAAGCUAGGGGAGCAAACGGGAUUAGAUACCCCCGUAGUCC
This 433-nucleotide ribosomal RNA is filed under the name uncultured bacterium. Its description in RNAcentral is "bacterial SSU rRNA". It matches the Rfam family "Bacterial small subunit ribosomal RNA", at positions 355 to 796 of the family's 1533-position model. The record is from RNAcentral.